RNAcentral lists this ribosomal RNA (132 nucleotides) under Oryctolagus cuniculus (rabbit). The record is from RNAcentral. Lineage: Eukaryota; Metazoa; Chordata; Mammalia; Lagomorpha; Leporidae.
GUCUACGGCCAUACCACCCUGAACGCGCCCGAUCUCGUCUGAUCUCGGAAGCUAAGCAGGGUCGGGCCUGGUUAGUACUUGGAUGGGAGGCAGUUCAUUUAUUGGAUAGACCAAUGCAGGUAGGUACAGACC